UACGAAGGGGGCUAGCGUUGUUCGGAAUGACUGGGCGUAAAGUGCGCGUAGGCGGGUUUAUAAGUCGAUUGUGAAAUCCCUGGGCUUAACCUAGGAACUGCAGUCGAAACUGUAAGUCUUGAAUAUCUGAGAGGUUAGUGGAAUUCCAGGUGUAGGAGUGAAAUCCGUAGAUAUCUGGAGGAACACCGGAGGCGAAGGCGGCUAACUGGCAGAAUAUUGACGCUGAGGCGCGAAAGCGUGGGUAGCAAACAGG
RNAcentral lists this ribosomal RNA (253 nucleotides) under uncultured bacterium. Its description in RNAcentral is "partial 16S ribosomal RNA". It matches the Rfam family "Bacterial small subunit ribosomal RNA", at positions 524 to 776 of the family's 1533-position model. The record is from RNAcentral.